Molecule: small nucleolar RNA, 476 nt
Rfam family: Small nucleolar RNA snR30
CACCAUAGACUCGUGUUAGGUUGAUGCUACAGGGAAGAGGUCUUUUGUUGCUUUAUCAGAAAUGGUAAACCUUCAUCUCCGGAUCUUGCUAUUGUUGCUUAACUUCUCUUCUUAUCUCCUAACAGCUCAGCGCUAGAGAGGCAGAGUUUCAAGGAAUCAGUGAACAUUAUACUUCUCCUCUAAUUUAUUAGGGUAUUGAGUCGUUAAUGUUCGGGUCAUUUAUGAUCUAUGAUUGUUGCCAUUACGUAUAUGGAUGAGACAGAAGUAGCCCCGUUGACGAGUCAGCCUAGUUUUAGAUUAAGUGGAAUGCAUGAUCUUGAAUUCUUUCCUCCAGCGAUCAUUUCUUCGGAAGUGUGUCAAUGGAAGAAAUUGAGUUCGGUCAUCUUUGUUGUCAUUCUACCGCGGUAUAUUCCUGAACACUGUGAAGAUCAUUUUUGGUCAAUUAUCAUUUGGGUAAAACCAUACCGCUGACAUUU